GGGGUUGUACUGGUUUCGACGGGGAUCAUGCAGCUGGUGAAGCUAUCCGCAUGCGGUGCGUUAAACGGCAAAAUUAAAAUUAAACGCUGAAGAUAAUUUAGCAUACGCAGCCUAAUGGCUGCUGUCAGCCUUAGUGCACUCACACAUUAAGAAUCUGGCAUCGACUAUGUGAGAAACGACAUGUACUAAGCUUUGCGUGCAUGGGCGUAUCAUGAAGCUACUGAAACCGCAAGAGUGUCUGUUCCCGUGCGGCAGAGGGAAUGUCAAAUAACAGACUAUGAUAGUAGAAGAACAGGGAAUUGGUUUUCGGACAGGGGUUCGAUUCCCCUCAGCUCCACUU
Molecule: transfer-messenger RNA, 340 nt
Filed under: Lachnospiraceae
Lineage: Bacteria; Bacillati; Bacillota; Clostridia; Lachnospirales
Also listed under: 2 other names
Description: Ventrimonas sp003480315 Standard tmRNA
Rfam family: transfer-messenger RNA
About the family: Bacterial tmRNA, also known as 10Sa RNA or SsrA, is named for its dual tRNA and mRNA-like properties. Its role is to liberate the mRNA from a stalled ribosome.
Source: RNAcentral